This 38-nucleotide ribosomal RNA is filed under the name Campylotropis muehleana. Its description in RNAcentral is "partial 26S ribosomal RNA". Lineage: Eukaryota; Viridiplantae; Streptophyta; Magnoliopsida; Fabales; Fabaceae. The record is from RNAcentral.
GAGACCUCAGGUCAGGCGGGGCCACCCGCUGAGUUUAA